This 254-nucleotide ribosomal RNA is filed under the name uncultured bacterium. Its description in RNAcentral is "partial 16S ribosomal RNA". It matches the Rfam family "Bacterial small subunit ribosomal RNA", at positions 524 to 776 of the family's 1533-position model. The record is from RNAcentral.
CACGUAGGGGGCAAGCGUUGUCCGGAUUUACUGGGCGUAAAGAGCUCGUAGGCGGUUCAGCAAGUCGGGUGUGACAAUUCCAGGCUCAACCUGGAGAGGUCAUUCGAUACUGCUGUGACUAGAGUCCGGUAGGGGAGUGUGGAAUUCCCGGUGUAGCGGUGGAAUGCGCAGAUAUCGGGAGGAACACCAGUGGCGAAGGCGGCACUCUGGGCCGGAACUGACGCUGAGGAGCGAAAGCGUGGGGAGCGAACAGG